Molecule: ribosomal RNA, 301 nt
Filed under: uncultured bacterium
Lineage: Bacteria
Description: partial 16S ribosomal RNA
Rfam family: Bacterial small subunit ribosomal RNA
Source: RNAcentral
CAGUAGCCGCGGUAACACGAGGGGGGCAAGCGUUGUUCGGAAUUAUUGGGCGUAAAGCGCGUGUAGGCGGUCCUGCAGGUCGGAUGUGAAAGCCCUUGGCUCAACCAAGGAAGUGCAUUCGAAACCUCAGGACUUGAGUGUCGGAGAGGAAGGUGGAAUUCUCGGUGUAGAGAUGAAAUUCGUAGAUAUCGAGAGGAACACCGGCGGCGAAGGCGGCCUUCUGGACGAACACUGACGCUGAGACGCGAAAGCGUGGGGAGCAAACAGGAUUAGAUACCCCCGUAGUCCCUGUCUCUUAUAC